CGAGGACGGUGGAAUACGGCUUGUAGGAAGAGUGAAAUGCAGACCGUUCGCCUGUACCAGGAUGGCCGAGUGGUUAAGGCGUUGGACUUAAGAUCCAAUGGACAAUGUCCGCGUGGGUUCGAACCCCACUCCUGCUAGGGUCAAUCUUAUCUGAUUAGAAGAAUCAGGAUCCAGAAGCCCAAAGAGGCAAACAUAUCUGGAGACUGGGAAAUCCAAGAUCAAGUUGCCAGCAAGUUCGGUUCCUGGUGAGGCUUCUUCCUUGUUUUCAGAAAGACAUCAUCUUGCUGUACCUUCACAAGGCAGACAGAGGGGGCGGGGCUCCGGUCUCCCUCUCUUCUUACAAAGGCCCUAAUCCCAUCAUGGGGGCUUCAUCCUCAUGGCUUCUUCUAAAUCUAAUUAACAUUCAGAGGUUCCACUUUCAACUACCAUCACAUAGGGAGUUAGGGCUUCAAUGUGUGAAAUUUGGGUAGGACAUAAACAUUCAGUCCAUAGCACCAAGCUUCAAUUUCUUUAUCUGCAACAUAUAUACCGCACCUAUUUUUUUAAAUUUUUAUUUAUUUAUUUUGAGAGAGAGCAUGUGAGCAGGGGAGGGUCAGAGAGAGAGAGAGAGAGAGAGAGAGAAUCCAAAGCAGGCUCUACACGGUCAGCACACAGCCAGAUGCAGGGCUUGAACUUAUGAACCUGAGGCAAAACCAAGAGUCAGAUGCUAAACUGAUUGAGCCAUCCAGGCGCCCCUGUAUCACACCUAUUUGUAAAGUUUAACAAUGAAAUGAGAUUUUUAUAAGGCCUUAGCUCAGUCUCAUAAUGAAAACAAAGUAAAAUAUUAAAAAUUUACUAUGUAUUAGGUACUGUUGAAGAAAAUCCAAAGAAGAAUUACGAUUUAUGGAAUACCAUGUUUUCUGAACUAUGCUAAAUGCAUUAAUGCAUUUUAUUCACUGAAUCCUUCAUAAUGCCCUAAGAGUAUUAUUAUUAGGUAUUACUAUCACUAUUUUAUAAAGGGGGAAGCUGAGAGGUUAACUAUUUUCCUAAAGUCACAACUGAUGACCAGCAGAACCAGGAAUGAAAACACAUCGUGUGCUCUGAGUGCUAGGAUAUAUUGCCUCUUCUGUUUACACGGGAAUCUAUGAAAUUCAUUAUUUAAAACUGUCAUGAAAUAAAUAUAAAUGAAUAUUUUUACCUGAGAGUUCUGAGGUUACAGGAAAUGUUUACUAUGAGCCUCAUAAAGAGAGAAUUCAAUUCUUUCAUCUUAAUGAUAACUUUAUUUGCUGCCUAAAAAUUAGAAUACACAGGGAGGGGGGAAUUGGCAAGAUAUUAGUCAAAGGGCAUGUAGUUUCAGUUACACAAGAUGACUGUAUCCUAGAGAUUCACUGCACAGCAUAGCACAUAUAAUUAACAAUACUGUCUUGUAUACUGAAAAAUUGGUUAAGAGAGUAGAUCUUAUAUUAAAUUUUCUUUAAAAAAAAGAGGGAGGGAGGGAACUUUCAGAGGUGAUGGUUGUAGCUUUGUAUUGUUUAUGGUGACAGUUUCAUGGGUGUAUACUUCAAACUCACCAAGAUGUAUACAUCAAAUAUGUAUAGCUGUUUUGGUAUGUUAAGCACACCUCAAAAAAAAAAAAAAAUCAAGAUACAUGAUCUUCUAAUGGGACAAAAUGGUCGAAACAGAACACAGUAGCCCUGGUGUCUGUUUUACCCCUCUCCUCCCACCCUCCACUCUUGACAUCUAUUACCCAAGGCCAACUUCAAGGGGAGAAAUAUAGCUCUGAAAUCAUUUAGCCUGAGGGCAACGUUCUUUUCUAGCUCUAGAAUUCUUUAGUGUGUGUGCUGUCACCCAGCCUCAAGUUUUCUGUUUCUGACUCAUCAAAGGGGUGUAGAAACAUUUAUACUCUCUCCUUUGGAAGAAUUCUUCUAUGACCUUUUCCACCUCCAGCCCAGCCUGCAGGCUGAACAUGUUGGUUAAAGACAGAAAAACUUAAUUUUUAUAGAAACCAAUAAACAAAGUGGGAUUGAGUUUCCUUUAAAAAGAAAAAAUCAGGGGUGUGUGUAUUGGGGGUGUAAUGCCUGGAUGGCUCAGUUGGUUAAGUGGUUAAACAUCCCAGCGUGGGUCAUGAUCUCACGGUCCAGUCAGUAGGUUCGAGCCCCUCAUCGGGCUCUGUGCUGACAGAUCAGAUCCUGGAGCCUGCUUCAGAUUCUGUCUCCCUCUUUCUCUGCCCCCUCCCACUUGCACUCUGUCUCUCUCUGUCUCUCAAAAAUAUAUGUUAAAAAAAAAACUUUAAAAAAUCAGUAUUAGUUUUAAUAUUAAAAAAAUGUGUUGGUUAUGAAAUUCUUGGAAAAAAUAUAUAGUAGUAUUGAAAUUUUUUGAGAAACUGCCGUGUAAUCACAAAACCACACAACUGGUAUUAGAAACAAAGGCCCUGACAGAAAAGCCUCUUUUCCAACAUAACUGAAAAAUGAAUAUAACCACUGAAUCUCUGUUUGGCAGGAUCCAAACACUUGGCUACUCAAGGUAACCACUGGAGAGGCUGGAGGUCAAGUCCAGGGAAAUGCCAGAGUAACCACACUAUUCAUCCAGCCAACUUAAGACAGUUAAUCAAUCACAAAGACAGAAAAAUUAACAAUGAAAUUUUUUCUAGAAUUUAAAGAAGUUGAUGCUAGGAAUCUUGGCCCUGUUGAUGCAGUGGCUCCUCGAGUUAAUAUGGAACAAACCAUACCAUUAGCUGAAGAAAGAUAAACAAAAUAUAUAGGGUUCUGGCACAGCUGGAUUGGGCCACUUUGGGGAAUAGCUCUCAGAGAAGGUUCUAGUAGUAAUGGCCUGGUAAAAAAUAAAACACUUUGUGAUAAUUAAACAAGGAUGAUUAUUCAGAAGAAUUGUGGCACAACACCAAGCAAAGCCAACAUUUAUUCAUAUGUUUUUGUGUUUUAAUCUUGCUGACCUUGUCUUUCCAACCUAUAAUUUUAAUUUGAUCCAGUUUUCAUCAUCUGCUUAGUUUCAAUUUUACUUAAUUAUUAUAUAAAUAAUCUUAAGUCCCAUAGAGAAAUUGGUAGGUCGCUAAAUAAUUAAAUACGUAUUAAGACAGUAACAGGAAGAAAUUCUCUUUUUUCUCUCUGCUCUCUUUUUUUAAGCAAAGAUCGGUUGAGAAUCUGGUGAUCUCAGGCCUAAAGUAUUUGGCUUUCCCCUUUGUUCGGGACUCCUGGUGAGCAGGGGUGGCCUGGUGAUCUAUGAUUAAGAUGACAGUCCCUCCUCCCUCCUCCUUUGCUCCAUGCUUUGCAUAUAUAAAUUGAGCCUUUGGGGUUUACAAGGUGCUAGCAGUCUUAAAGACUAUUAAUAUUAUUGCCUUUUUGGUUAACAGAUUUGUAAUUAUUGUAACUAACCUGAGCCAAAAGAUGAACUAGCAAUUUUUGCAAAUUCAAACAAAACCUACUAGUAUUAUUUUGAAAAACAAAAAACAAACAAAUGAAAUAACUCCACUUCCAUGAUUAAUUUCAAAGGACAACCAUCAAAACAGUAGUCUUUCCCCAAAAGCAGGAAAAUUUUAAAAAUAUGUAUUUUAAAGGAUUUUGCAGCUGUAAAACAGACACUUAAAUUUUAAACUCCCCCCACUUAAAAUUUGAAGUUAACAAACUGUUCAGAAAGUUUGCAAAGCUAAUUAAUUAAUGAGACCUGUUUCCCCAAGCCAUCCCUGACAUGUUGUGGUUGAGGAAAGAAAAAGCUCCUUUUCCCACCCCUCCCCCACCCUGAAGAGCUAGAAACUGGAGGCUUGGUAAGGGGCCACCUAAGAGAGGGGCUUAUCCUUUCCCUGAGAGCCUGGGUACAGUGAGUCCCACUAGGACAGGUUGAGUACAAGCCUGGCUGGAAUUCUCAGAAAACAGGCAAGGCCAGGGUCGAGCAGAAGCACAGUCCUGCAAAUCCACAGCUGCUAUCAGUUUCCCAAACUGUUUUUAGAAUCCUCAGGGGCUGGGAGUGGAAUGGGUUAUGCUCACUUAGGAUGGUUUGGUUUGCAAAUCUGGGAAGAGAGCCAGACAGACCGUUUUCUCCCAUAAUUCUGGAGAUGAUGUGUGCUCUUCAGAGAGAUAUAAAGUCACAGACUCAUAGAACUGGACCUUUGGAGAUCAUCUAGUGAAUCCAUCUGCUAAUGUUACACACCAGGCAGUGGAGACAGAAAAAGUUAAUAACUUGCCCAAGCUCAUUACAUAGUUGGCCUCUGAUAGAGCUAGCACUUGAACCCAGUGUUUUCUUCCAACUCAUUCACAUUUGAUAAACUGAGUAGAUAGUACAUUACAUUUUUCAGAUAUAAUUUGAAGAUAUAUAAAACACGAACUUUGGUGGGUAUAUAUAUACAUAUAUACACUUUUAAUUUUAGUAAAAUACCCAUAACAUGAAAUUUACAUCUUAACCAUUUUUAAGUGUGCAGUUGAGUGGUAUUAAGUACAUUCACAUUUUUAAAAAAUUUUUUAAUGUUUUAUUUUUAAGACAGAGCAUGAGUGGGGUAGGGGCAGAGAGAGAGAGAGAGGGG
This is a long non-coding RNA of Acinonyx jubatus (cheetah), 4510 nucleotides long. RefSeq lists it as uncharacterized. The transcript is spliced from 3 exons. NCBI's taxonomy places the organism in Eukaryota, Metazoa, Chordata, Mammalia, Carnivora, Felidae. The record is from RefSeq and is a predicted model, not a curated record.